ACAAGCCGGAGGAAGGUGGGGAUGACGUCAAGUCCUCAUGGCCCUUAUAGGUGGGGCUACACACGUCAUACAAUGGCUGGUACAAAGGGUUGCCAACCCGCGAGGGGGAGCUAAUCCCAUAAAGCCAGUCGUAGUCCGGAUCGUAGUCUGCAACUCGACUACGUGAAGUCGGAAUCGCUAGUAAUCGUGGAUCAGAAUGUCACGGUGAAUACGUUCCCGGGUCUU
This 225-nucleotide ribosomal RNA is filed under the name uncultured Rhodoferax sp. RNAcentral's name for it is "partial 16S ribosomal RNA". It matches the Rfam family "Bacterial small subunit ribosomal RNA", at positions 1158 to 1382 of the family's 1533-position model. Lineage: Bacteria; Pseudomonadati; Pseudomonadota; Betaproteobacteria; Burkholderiales; Comamonadaceae. The record is from RNAcentral.